Molecule: long non-coding RNA, 7641 nt
Organism: Phyllostomus discolor (pale spear-nosed bat)
Lineage: Eukaryota; Metazoa; Chordata; Mammalia; Chiroptera; Phyllostomidae
Exons: 11
Source: RefSeq, a predicted model, not a curated record
CACUCUCCAGCGGCGUUCAGUUUCAGCGGGAGGAGUAACUGGCUGCCACACCAGAGGAACCAACCAACAACUCGCAAAACUGGACUUUGGUCCUCCAAACUGGGGCAAAACUGUAGGUACCACGCAGCCAAGACAAGAUCGAAGCAGUCCAACACCAUAGCCUGCCAGCGAUGACUGAGGGAGCCUCGGCCUUGCAAGUCCGCUGCCCAAGAACACCCCCCACCCGGACCACGAUCUCUCUGUCCUCCCGCGACGCCGGGGCACCGAUUCUUCUGCCCCCGCCCCCGCCCCCCUGAGGCUCGGGGAGCCGCCUUACCCCGUUCAACUUGACCUAGUCCAGGUUCCCUGGAGCUCAGGAGAGGGGCGCCGCGCUCGUUGCCCGGGACCAUCUCCGCACCGCUCCAACCCCGAUUUCAACAUUUCGGCUCCGACAGCGUUUAGAGAGGAAAGUAACAGAGCGCCCCCCUUUCCCUCUCCCCGCCUCUCUCCUCCCUGGCUCUCCGCUGGGGUUAAAAGGAGAAGUGAAAGGUAUGCAAAUGGCAAGCAAAUUGGAAGAGCCUGGAAGAAAGGCAGCUAUAAUAAACUAGACAAAGAGAAGGGACGCGGGGGACUAGCCCAGGAGUUUUAACCGGGAGAGAUGGGAAGGAUGAGGCUUGGCGGAAAGCGGGCACCCAGACGAACAAAAAGCGACCCUAUCCCCGCCGCGGUCCCCUCUCCUGAGUAGAGAGAGAAGGCAGGAGAAAGAGGAAAGGAAGCAAGCGCCCCCGCACACCCCAGCCACGGCACACAAAAGGUGACAAGAUCAGCGACACGUCCCGCAGUAUCACCCCCCCCCCCCCGCGCCAACACCACCCCCAGCCACCGGCAGGAAAGAGAAAGAAAUAAAAGCCGAGCGGAUCACUUACUCUUAGGAACUGGGAGGAGCGCAGCGCGGAGUUCCACUGAGGCUCCUGCUCAGAAACUGUUUAGAGGUUAUUUUAUUACGAUUCAUUUAAAUAACACCAUUUCCUCCUGAAAAAGAAAUGUUGACACGGGUGUAAGUCAUGGGAGUCUCUUUUCUUCCCAUUCAAGAACAAGCCAGUACAAGUGAUUCUGGAAAAGGGGAGGGGACUGGCGAGGGGACAGAAGAUACUUACGCGGCGCCGAGAGCAGGGGGACUGAGCCUUUUUUUUUUCCUCCCCUGCCGGCGGAGAGGAACACACGCGCGCGCUCACACCCGCCGCUACCUUGCGGGUGAUGAAUAUGAUAAUUGGACGAGGGACGCACAGUAACCGGCUUUUAAUAAAGGAACCCAGUUUAUGACUUCAAGGUCCUACAAAAACUAGGACUCUCAGGGGCUGCGAAGCAGAAACAUUCAUAGCUACUCGAUUAGACACGCUCAUUUUCUUAGGUAAGCCGUUAGGUGGAGACCGGAGAGAGGACUGCUAUAAGUAAUUUCGACCUUGCGAAUAACUGUCCCCAGAUCCCUAAACAAACCGAUUCUGGGAAUCUCAACCAGGUCCAGCUGAGAGACAAACGUGGGCAUGGAUUUCAGGAAGAUGAAGGCGAUCUUGCCCAGACACACGCUCCCGGACACACGCGCACAGACACACCCCAUCAGCCAAACACCACCACCACCACCACCCUGAAGAGGGGAAGAGAAAGAGAGAAAAACCGACUCCAGGGUGCAGGCCGGCCUGCUUCAGGCUAUCCAGAGGCAGACUGAGUGACCUCCAUAUCCCCCCCACACACACACUUCUGUCCCUGUGCCCAGUGUGCCGCCAAGCCCAACCUGAAUUUGUUGUGAAGGUCUGAAUGGGGUGUGUGGGGGGGGGGGGGGGGUGAAAUGCCACAAGAUCAGUAGCAAUAGCAGCUGUGCAUUUCUCUCCUGGGAACCCCACUGCUUAGAAGCCUCCCGAGUGAUGUUUGUUUAACCAACAGCUUUCAAAGUAAACAGGCGAAUCCCUCCAAAGGAGUUGAAAUAUAACCUUUACAAGAAUUUUUGGGUCAGGGUGCUGGCAGAAAAAGUAAUUUUAAAAAAUAAUACUGCCCCCACCCCAGUGUAUAGUCCACCAUAAGAAGCCUAAAAGAACCUAGAACUGCCAUAAAAAUAUCAGCUCAUCGAAAGGAUUCUUUACUGUCAAGGGACCUCGAAGCAGAUCACUGUUCCCCGACAGGCCCCGCCCUCGGGGAGAGGGGUCGGUGUCGGAGACUGAAGGGGCAAACUACUACUCGAUUUUAUGGAAGCGGCAAAAACAAUCAAAGGGAGGUACAUUCCUUGCCCUGGAGUAGACACGAGAAGGCUGGGAGCUCCGCGCCGCCAACCCUGGCUUUGCCUCAGGCACCGAACUUUCCAAUAUCAAGAUAUUAACAGAUGGCGGUGAGCACAUGGAGGGCUGUUACUUACAUAAUCCAGCCGCUCCGCCCGGCCGCGCGGAGCCCGGCUAGGCGCCCGCCAGGCCGCGCGCGCGCCUUGGGAGGGGUGCUGCUGCCCCCCGAAACACUGUGCCUUUCUCCAACCCUAUUCGGCUCUUUGAGGGAUAGGAUUUGGAAAGGCCUGAUCUCAGUUUAAAAAAAAAAAAAGCACAUCAAUCUACUAUGCUGUAUCUUCAGUCCACCGCAGUAAAAACGCUGCAGACCGAAGGGCCAAGGGAAGCGGAGGGUAUGCUUUUGGGGAGAACGGGACACACUCUCUCGGUAACUGGGGGUGCCACGUAGCGAAAUUUACUCAAUUUACACCCCUCCCUCUUUGGCUCAAAUUAGCAUAUCGUUCACUGUCACAAAAAUACAAAGGCAAGCUGGGGCCGCAACCUAGAGUGGGGUGGGUGAGGGUGUGAGUGCGUGGGGACGCCUUUGCACGCGGGGGCGCAGUGGGCAAAGUUACGCACAGCCUGGGGCACUGCUACAUUUCCCAGCUUUUGCAGGUUUUUAACCACUGGUUCUCGCGCGCGGGGAGUCCCUUUCGACUGUGAAGUCGCCUACUGCCAUCACGCCCUCAGCCACCUCCCCAGAGGCCCAGUCCCUCCCGGUGUGCCUGUGUACCUCCUCCGCACGUGUGCUGGGGGACGUGUUUGUUGGCCGAGCCUCCUCCCUGAUGGCGACUCGGAGCCGCCGAAACCCGUGAGGAAUACGCCUGCGUGCGUUGGAAAAGUUUCGGGACGGAAACCUUUUCAAUAGAAGCUGCGCAUCAGACCAAUGAAACCACAGGACAAAACAUUCUAUUCAAGGAGGGAACAUCAAGAAGGAAAAGAAGGUCAACAUUCCUAGAGGCAACCAUUCUUUGCUUUCAAUGGGACAGAAGAGCUCCUUGGCACCGGAAGCCUCCUGGUCUGGUGAGGGAGGAAGGAGGGACUGUUCUGGGGACACUUGGGCAUCAUCGAUGCUCUCCGCAUUCAGACCGAGGAAGGAGCUGGGGCCGCGGCCUUCGAUGCUCGUGACCCGAGGAUGGGCGGACCGUGAGCACAUCACAGAAGCAGUGAUGACUGGUCUCUAUCAAUACAUGACUGUCCUCGCUUAACAAGUGAAUAAAGAGAAAACAACCGAACACUUGGAACUCCCCCCCCAAAGCCAGCAGGAAACCUGAAAAAAGGAAGAAGAACAUGGAACAAGGAAGGGUGUUGUACGAAGCACCCGCCAUCUUGCGUAUAUUUUGUUUGCCUUCUUGGACUUACUUGAACCUCCCCCUUGCUCUGCCUAGACUUACAAAGUGAGAAGCACUUGGGAUUUGAUUGGGAAGGAAAAGGCACAGAAAUGGCUUCUUUUUCGAAUCUGACAAGAUGACAGCCCAUCUUUUUCUCUUGACCUUGUACUUGGACAUGGCUCAGAGAGUGGAAUGCUGCAAUUAGUGAUCAUUAACAGUGAAAUAAGAGAGGAAAGUUAGGAUCAAAUAAGAGACAAAAGACAGAAAUACAGGUCAAAGGAAAGAGGAAGAGAAGCUGGAAGGAACGGGAGGAAGCUGUUAAAGAUUAUUAAAGAGGGGGAAGGAGUAUAAGAGCAUACCAACCAAACACACAAAAAGAAGACCCAAACCUUUAUAGUAUUGUGACAGAGAUGGCUGUCUGGCCAGUGAAGGUUUACCUUCCGCUCCCACCGUGUAGACUUGUUUGGGGCAAGCAAUUGCUCAGCCAAAGACUACAUUUCCCAGUCUCCCUUGCAGUGACAUUGGACCAUGUGACUAGUUCUUAUCAGUGGAAUAUGGGCUGAAUUGAAAAAAGGUGUAUCACUAUAGUUUUUCAUUAACACUGUGUCUAGUUUCUCUCUUCUCCCUACUCCCCUUCCCCACAGCUUGCCCUCUCUCUCCAUCUUCUGGCUGGACAACUUUGAUGUCACCCAUGUCUAGAAGAUGUAGAGCCGUUACCUGGAAGGAAUCUGGAUCCCUGAAUGACUUUUGAAGGGGUGGAGCCCAGGCCAGCUGCCCAACCAAGAACAUCCACAUUAGACCUUUUGGUCUUAUGGGAACAGAAACUUUUGAGGGAGUUAACUGUUUGUGCAAGAUGACUGGUUGGGUAAAGAAGUCCAAAGUUUAUUAUCUGCAGAACAAAUACAGCCUGGGCAAAGGGUCAGCUUGAAGGAGGCAUCGCUGUCUCUGAAGAGGCCACGACCAGUGAGACUGGAUGGGGCUGUGAACCACCUGCAAAGGCCUCCAGAACAUGCUCUCGUGUAAGGGAUGAACUGGAGUUAUUACUCAACUAGGCCAGAGAAAAGAAGUUUGGGCAAAUCUCGAUUCGAAUUUACUUUGCCACUGGUUGCAGUGCGACUUUUGUGCUCAGGACUUUCUGCUCUUGGAGAAACGCAGCUGCUAUUUACCCAUCACCUAAAGGCUGAGGAACAUUGAUUCAAAGGAUGGAGACCAUGAAAAAUCAUGACUUAAAGGAAUAGAUUAUAUCACUGCAACUUCAAAAAAUGACUAUCUGUUAUGUGGAGUUUGGAGAUGACCCCACCCCCAGUUAUCUGCUGCCAUUCAACCACUCAAGUGAAGCUCAGCAGGCAGCACUGGGGAAGAGGGUGCUGUGCCGAAGGGACUGUCAAAGCUGUAACUGCAUUCCCAGUUUGUGCUGAGCCUGGGAACGUGGCACUUAGACAACGCCUAGGCUGAAACUUCCAAACAUGACGUUUCCCAGUACGGUCUGCCUUUUCUGGCCACCAAAGCUCAUCAUUAGAAACAUCUACUAAUUUUCUUCCUAAUGGAUUCAUAUAAACUCAUUGUAAGAGUUGAUCAGCAGUCUUCAUUCUCUCGCUCUCUCUCUUUUUUGUAAGGAGGUGACCUACUCACCUUGCUUGAUGUGAAGAUGACAAGAAGUUGCGAUUCCGCUGAGCAGAAUUUUUUCAUAACUUGAUUGAGUCCAUUUAACAAAUAUUUGGGGGGCUUAUCCUGGGUACCAAGCCACUCUUCUAUGUACUUGGCACAUCUCUGUUGUAGCAACAAGUAUAGAGAAGUAGAAAAAGACAACAUUUAAGGAGACAGGAAAUGGAAAGCCUGGGAAAUGGAACGCAUUGGAAAAACAACAAAUACGCUAUCAUCAAAAGCAUAUAAAAGGAACACAUUUUUUAAUCUUCUUAUCCUCUUUGUAUAAAAAUUAAAAUUAGUGGCACCUGUUGCAACUGUGUCUGUAUCACUGCCCUCUGGAAACACAAGGAUUUCUUGGGAACUGCAGUAUCGCCCUUUUUAACUCCUACCAUGAGGCAUCACUUUACUCGGAAUGAAUUCGAGGCAUGGGUGACAAAGUCCGUUUGCCACUGAUUGCCUUCCCCCCCAGUAUGACAGGUCUGCUCUGCGUCGUUUACUUUACCGAGCUUUCUGCCGAAACACCUCCCUCCCUCCCACUGUCUACAACUGGGCGGCCUCCACACUCAUGGAGCCCCUUUCGUCGUGGGACUCCCUUGGACUCCUCCAGCCAAUGCCGACAGGAGCCCCUUCUUUGGGUUCCUGUGGCAUCUCUAGUUAGCCUCAAAAGUAGAUUGAGAGCAGGGUCUAUGUCUUAAAUUUCCUUGUAUCUCCCACAAUGCCGAGAAAAAUGAUCUGUCUGUUGUAGGCUUCAACAAAUAAAUAAGUAGGUGUAUACUUAUUGAGUACAUGUAAGGAUAACAUUAAAAUGGCUAAUACCUAGUAUAGCAUGACCACUGACCAUUGAGAAUACUUUUACCGAUAUGAGUAUACACACCCACAUAUAAUACAUUAUUAUACAGGGCAGGUGUGUUAUCUCACAUGCUGAUAAUAUUAUGCAGAUGCUCACAAUAUUACGCCGAUGCUCACAAUUUUACACAGGGUAGAAAUAUUAUCCUCGAUUUUACAGAUGAGGGAUGAGGGAACUGAGUUUCAGAAAAGUUCAAAUUACUUGCUCAGGACCUACAACUGAUGGAAGACCCUAGAUCUCUUUCAUCCCAAACCCGUGCUCUUCCCACCGUGCUGCUAUCAUAAUUACUACCUGGGGGUGGAUCAGGUCCUCUGUCCCCUUGGGCUGAGGCGUGUCUUUCAAAGGAGAGGGCACUGGGUGCCUGGUGAGUCUGACUAGAGCACAUGGAUAAUCAGCUCACUUAGACCAAACCCUCUCCACUGGGGGACCUGCAUGGUCACAACUAACUCAUUUAUGGCCAGUUUACACACUAAUGUGCCUGUGUUACACAAAUGUGGUCGGAGAAGGUUAUUUUUCAAAGCCAAAGGUCUGGUAGCUGUUGGAAAAUUCACAGUGGGUCCCUUGAAACCUCUCAGUGGUUCAGUUUUAUCUCCUUUGUUAAGAGGGAAAAAGUUAUACUUCCCUUCAAUUCCUUGUCAUAAUAUUAAAGUACUUUGAACCUGAGUUUUUAAUAUAAAAACAAGACAUUAUCAUCCAAGCAUCAAGUUGGUGAAUCAGAAAAGAAAGACAAUCUCUUUUCAUUUUGGUCAGUCAUCACUAAGGAGUUGACACAUUUCAACAGCGGGUAGAGAGUUAUAAGCUCAUCAGUCCCAUUCCUGCUCCAGAGUCCACAGGAACAUCUCAUUCCCUCCUUGUUAGGUUGGGGUCAUGGCCAAAAACAUCAGGACAGAGGGGUCUAUACCACCUCUAGUCCUGCUCUUUAAAAGAUCUUAAACAAUAUUCCAGCAUUCGCUCCCCUCUCCACAGUUAGCUCAGAUGCCACUGGUUUAAGAUUCCAGCGUCACAGAAUAAUGGAAGGAAUUUGGGUUCCUGAGUCACCACUUGGAAGAAAGCCCCCACGGAGAGCUGCCAGACUUGCACUGGACAGUGACAUGAGGGAAGAGUAAAUGCAUGCGUGAGGUCACGGAGACUGUUGUCACAACAACUGGUAUUUACUGCUCUCAUACAGAAAGUGGUAUCAGAAGAGGGGUAUUGACAAAACCAUAUUCCUUAAUUGUUAUACUACCCUAAGUAUGUAUCAUUGGUUUCCUAGUGAAGACCCAGGCAGAAAGGAAACUCAUACCAGAAUACGGAAAAAUGGAAAUUCAGAUUAUGCAGUGACAAAUCAUUCGGUAUCACUAUUGCCUGCUAUUAAUUCGAAGGCAGUCCCAUGCACCGUUUGUAUCUUCAGGGGAAAUGGUUAGAAAACAGGAUUUUAGCAGUGUUUUUGAUUAAUGUAGAUAUGUAUUACAAGAAAGAGAUGACUAGGAAAGAAUUCCUGAGUUUGUGAGUAGGGAUAGAAUAGACUACAGAGUCCAGCAAUUUGUUU